UACGAAGGGGGCUAGCGUUGCUCGGAAUCACUGGGCGUAAAGGGUGCGCAGGUGGCUGUGUAAGUUUGAUGUGAAAGUCUCCGGGCUCAACCCGGAAAUGGCAUUGAAUACUACAUGGCUGGAGGUUUGGAGGGGGGACUGGAAUUCUCGGUGUAGCAGUGAAAUGCGUAGAUAUCGAGAGGAACACCAGUGGCGAAGGCGAGUCCCUGGACAACACCUGACACUGAGGCACGAAAGCUAGGGGAGCAAACAGG
Molecule: ribosomal RNA, 254 nt
Filed under: uncultured bacterium
Lineage: Bacteria
Description: partial 16S ribosomal RNA
Rfam family: Bacterial small subunit ribosomal RNA
Source: RNAcentral